GACGAACGCUGGCGGCGUGCCUAAUACAUGCAAGUAGAACGCUGAAGAGAGGAGCUUGCUCUUCUUGGAUGAGUUGCGAACGGGUGAGUAACGCGUAGGUAACCUGCCUUGUAGCGGGGGAUAACUAUUGGAAACGAUAGCUAAUACCGCAUAACAAUGGAUGACACAUGUCAUUUAUUUGAAAGGGGCAAUUGCUCCACUACAAGAUGGACCUGCGUUGUAUUAGCUAGUAGGUGAGGUAACGGCUCACCUAGGCGACGAUACAUAGCCGACCUGAGAGGGUGAUCGGCCACACUGGGACUGAGACACGGCCCAGACGCCUACGGGAGGCAGCAGUAGGGAAUCUUCGGCAAUGGGGGCAACCCUGACCGAGCAACGCCGCGUGAGUGAAGAAGGUUGUCGGAUCGUAAAGCUCUGUUGUAAGUCAAGAACGAGUGUGAGAGUGGAAAGUUCACACUGUGACGGUAGCUUACCAGAAAGGGACGGCUAACUACGUG
RNAcentral lists this ribosomal RNA (497 nucleotides) under uncultured bacterium. RNAcentral's name for it is "partial 16S ribosomal RNA". It matches the Rfam family "Bacterial small subunit ribosomal RNA", at positions 28 to 507 of the family's 1533-position model. The record is from RNAcentral.